GCUUACGGCCACACCGCCUUGUUCACGCUUUGAUCUCGGAAGCUAAGAUAGGUUGUGCCUGGUUAGUACUUGGAUGGGAGACCGCCUGGGAAUACCAGGUGCUGUAAGCU
Molecule: ribosomal RNA, 110 nt
Organism: Scophthalmus maximus (turbot)
Lineage: Eukaryota; Metazoa; Chordata; Actinopteri; Pleuronectiformes; Scophthalmidae
Source: Ensembl